AGGAUUCCCCUAGUAACUGCGAGUGAAGCGGGAAAAGCUCAAAUUUAAAAUCUGGCAGUCUUUGGCUGUCCGAAUUGUAAUCUAGAGAAGUGCUAUCCGCGCUGGACCGUGUACAAGUCUCCUGGAAUGGAGCGUCAUAGAGGGUGAGAAUCCCGUCUUUGACACGGACUGCCAGGGCUUUGUGAUGCACUAUCAAAGAGUCGAGUUGUUUGGGAAUGCAGCUCAAAAUGGGUGGUAAAUUCCAUCUAAAGCUAAAUAUUGGCGAGAGACCGAUAGCGAACAAGUACCGUGAGGGAAAGAUGAAAAGAACUUUGGAAAGAGAGUUAAACAGUAUGUGAAAUUGCUGAAAGGGAAACGCUUGAAGUCAGUCGCGUUGGCAAGGAAUCAGCUCUGCAGUUUUGCUGGGUGCAUUUUCUUGUUGACGGGUCAGCAUCAAUUUUGACUGUUGGAUAAAGGUAGAGGGAAUGUGGCAUUCUUUGGAAUGUGUUAUAGACCUUUGCUGUAUACAAUGGUUGGGAUUGAGGAAUUCAGCACGCCGCAAGGCCGGGAAUAUGUUCCACGUACGUGCUYAGGAUGCUGGCAUAAUGGCUUUAAUCGACCCGUCUUGAAACACGGACCAAGGAGUCUAACAUGCCUGCGAGUAUUUGGGUGGAAAAACCCAUGUGCGCAAUGAAAGUGAAAGUUGAGAUCCCUGUCGUGGGGAGCAUUGACGCCCGGACUUGAAGUUUUCUGACGGUUCCGCGGUAGAGCAUGCAUGUUGGGACCCGAAAGAUGGUGAACUAUGCCUGAAUAGGGUGAAGCCAGAGGAAACUCUGGUGGAGGCUCGUAGCGAUUCUGACGUGCAAAUCGAUCGUCAAAUUUGGGUAUAGGGGCGAAAGACUAAUCGAAC
RNAcentral lists this ribosomal RNA (889 nucleotides) under Agaricales sp. RNAcentral describes it as "partial large subunit ribosomal RNA". The record is from RNAcentral. Lineage: Eukaryota; Fungi; Basidiomycota; Agaricomycetes; Agaricales.